RNAcentral lists this ribosomal RNA (253 nucleotides) under uncultured bacterium. RNAcentral describes it as "partial 16S ribosomal RNA". It matches the Rfam family "Bacterial small subunit ribosomal RNA", at positions 524 to 776 of the family's 1533-position model. The record is from RNAcentral.
UACGGAGGGUGCAAGCGUUAUCCGGAUUUAUUGGGUUUAAAGGGUCCGUAGGCGGACCUGUAAGUCAGUGGUGAAAUCUCAUAGCUUAACUAUGAAACUGCCAUUGAUACUGCAGGUCUUGAGUAAAUUAGAGGUAGCUGGAAUAAGUAGUGUAGCGGUGAAAUGCACAGAUAUUACUUAGAACUCCAAUUGCGAAGGCAUGUUACCAUGAUUCAACUGACGCUGAUGGACGAAAGCGUGGGGAGCGAACAGG